UACGAAGGGGGCUAGCGUUGCUCGGAAUCACUGGGCGUAAAGCGCACGUAGGCGGAUUGCUAAGUCAGGGGUGAAAUCCUGGAGCUCAACUCCAGAACUGCCCUUGAUACUGGCGGUCUCGAGUCCGGGAGAGGUGAGUGGAACUGCGAGUGUAGAGGUGAAAUUCGUAGAUAUUCGCAAGAACACCAGUGGCGAAGGCGGCUCACUGGCCCGGUACUGACGCUGAGGUGCGAAAGCGUGGGGAGCAACAGG
RNAcentral lists this ribosomal RNA (252 nucleotides) under uncultured bacterium. Its description in RNAcentral is "partial 16S ribosomal RNA". It matches the Rfam family "Bacterial small subunit ribosomal RNA", at positions 524 to 775 of the family's 1533-position model. The record is from RNAcentral.